This 599-nucleotide unclassified non-coding RNA is filed under the name Hevea brasiliensis (rubber tree). Lineage: Eukaryota; Viridiplantae; Streptophyta; Magnoliopsida; Malpighiales; Euphorbiaceae. The record is from RNAcentral.
CUGGCUUGUCAUGUUUAUCAGUGGUUUGUUUGUGUUCCAUUUUUUCAGGAAAGAUUAGUAUUUGUAAUGUUCUUGGUAGCUGAGAUUAUAUAGACAUUGUAGAAAUGAUUAGGGACAUCUGAAAAAGUGUUAGAAAGCAUUUGUCAUUAAACAAUCUUAUUCAUAGCAUUGUUGUCUACUGUUCUAUGUGCCGAUGUUGGGAUUUUUCCCCCCUGUCUAAUGAGAUCCUUCAAAUGUAUUAAGAAGAGGACUUUUGCAUCACUAGUAGUUUGAGAAACAAAUAUUUGUGCUCAGCUGGUGGAAGCAUAAAUUACUUAAAUAGGUAUGAGACAAUAAUAAAAAAGGGUAAUAUAUAAUAAAGGCUGCUUAAUUUUACAUCUACCAUUUUUUUCUCCAAUGCUUUCCCUAAAUGGUGCUAAGAAUGUCAACCUUUCUGACAGCCUAAUAGGAGCGCUUUGGUAAAUGAAUUUCAUUCAUGAUAUUGCUACUUGACAUGAACAUGCAGGGAAAUUUGUUUCAUCUUCAAAAAUUUUAAAUUCUACCAUAUAGACUCUGAUAUUUUAACUCUUCCUGUGCAGUGGUAUUGCUGUAUCCAUGGU